This 427-nucleotide ribosomal RNA is filed under the name Leptobrachella mjobergi (Mount Gadin Borneo frog). RNAcentral's name for it is "partial 16S ribosomal RNA". It matches the Rfam family "Bacterial small subunit ribosomal RNA", at positions 780 to 1414 of the family's 1533-position model. Lineage: Eukaryota; Metazoa; Chordata; Amphibia; Anura; Megophryidae. The record is from RNAcentral.
AGAUACCCCACUAUGCCUGGUCCUAAACUCUGACUAAUUACACUCAAAAUCCGCCUGAGAACUACGAGCCAACAGCUUAAAACUCAAGAGACUUGGCGGUGCUCUACACCCACCUAGAGGAGCCUGUUCUAUAAUCGAUAACCCCCGAUCUACCUCACCGCUUCUUGCUUAUCCGCCUAUAUACCGCCGUCGUCAACCCACCCUUUGAAGGAAGUACAGUAGGUUAAAUGAUUUAUCACCAAUACGUCAGGUCAAGGUGUAGCUAAUGAAGUGGAAAGAAAUGGGCUACAUUUUCUAAUUUAGAUCAUACGGAUAAUCACAUGAAAUCUGAUCAGAAGGAGGAUUUAGCAGUAAAAAGAAACCAGCAAGUUUUUUUUAAGCCGGCUCUAGAGCGCGUACAUACCGCCCGUCGCCCUCUUCAACCAUC